UUCUGUAGGUGUCACAUUUUGAGGACUAUAAUAAAGGAGGAUACUGUGGGUGUUGGAGAGGACCCACUGAAAAAUGUGAGUGCACGAAAGGAUCUCACAGAUGAACAUGUGGCCCCUGACACUCCAGCCACCUCUUCUGCACCAGUCUCACCUCCAGCUGAGGCUCAGACGAACAAAUCAAAGAAGGCUUCCUGGUGGCGCAGAUGGCUUUUUU
Molecule: long non-coding RNA, 214 nt
Organism: Oreochromis aureus
Lineage: Eukaryota; Metazoa; Chordata; Actinopteri; Cichliformes; Cichlidae
Exons: 3
Source: RefSeq, a predicted model, not a curated record